AGGCACGAAAGCGUGGGGAGCAAACAGGAUCAGAUACCCUGGUAGUCCACGCCGUAAACUAUGAGUACUAAGUGUCGGGGUUAAACUCGGUACUGAAGUUAACACAUUAAGUACUCCGCCUGAGUAGUACGUACGCAAGUAUGAAACUUAAAGGAAUUGACGGGAUCCCGCACAAGCGGUGGAUCAUGUUGUUUAAUUCGAAGAUACACGAAAAACCUUACCAGGUCUUGACAUACUCUGCAAAGCUAUAGAAAUAUAGUGGAGGUUAUCAGGGAUACAGGUGGUGCAUGGUUGUCGUCAGCUCGUGUCGAGAGAUGUUAGGUUAAGUUCUAAAACGAGCGCGACCCCUGUCGUUAAUUGCCAGCACGUUAUGGUGGGGACUUUAGCGAGACUGCCAAUGAAAAAUUGGAGGAAGGUGGGGAUUACGUCAAAUCAUCAUGCCCCUUAUGAUCUGGGCUACAAACGUGAUACAAUGGCUGUUACAAG
This 486-nucleotide ribosomal RNA is filed under the name Lethal yellowing phytoplasma. Its description in RNAcentral is "bacterial SSU rRNA". It matches the Rfam family "Bacterial small subunit ribosomal RNA", at positions 749 to 1243 of the family's 1533-position model. The record is from RNAcentral. Lineage: Bacteria; Bacillati; Mycoplasmatota; Mollicutes; Acholeplasmatales; Acholeplasmataceae.